RNAcentral lists this ribosomal RNA (253 nucleotides) under uncultured bacterium. RNAcentral's name for it is "partial 16S ribosomal RNA". It matches the Rfam family "Bacterial small subunit ribosomal RNA", at positions 524 to 776 of the family's 1533-position model. The record is from RNAcentral.
UACGGAGGGGGUUAGCGUUGUUCGGAAUUACUGGGCGUAAAGCGCACGUAGGCGGACUAGUAAGUUAGAGGUGAAAUCCCAGGGCUCAACCCUGGAACUGCCUUUAAAACUGCUAAUCUAGAGAUCGAGAGAGGUGAGUGGAAUUCCGAGUGUAGAGGUGAAAUUCGUAGAUAUUCGGAGGAACACCAGUGGCGAAGGCGGCUCACUGGCUCGAUACUGACGCUGAGGUGCGAAAGCGUGGGGAGCAAACAGG